UUGGUAAUAAAAUAAUAUUGACAAAGCCAAAUUUGGAACCAAACAGUUAUAGAGUGAGAACCUUUUUACUCGAAAACUAAAAAUAAAAUAUAAGAUAGAACCUUUUUACAAAAAAAAAUAAAUGAAAUUAUUGUACUACAAAACACUUUUUUUACAACAAUGAUACCAACCUAAUUGAGAUUAUAAUGUAUGUUGCAUAUUAUACAGCAUACUUAGAUCAGUCUCCUUGGCACCUAUAAAUAGUGUUAUUGACUUUGGACCAACAUAACUUUUAUUUAUUCGAUUUUUCUCCAUGCGCCUUCCUUUUAUAAAAAUGUUUAUCUCCUUCACUUUUUUGUAAAGGGGUAUUGUAAAUGCAGGUACUGAGGAAACUGCCUUCCAAGCACC
Non-coding RNA from Cinara cedri, 387 nucleotides. Lineage: Eukaryota; Metazoa; Arthropoda; Insecta; Hemiptera; Aphididae. The record is from the annotation of a GenBank genome assembly.